CAAAGUAAACCAAGCUUUCAAAUAACAUGGUUAUAAUAAUAAUUAUCUAUAGCCUUCUUAAACUCUAAGAUAGAGAAGCAUUUUCCUCAUAUUUCACCCAGUCCUGGUACCUCUGGGGAUUUGCUUGUUUUUUUUUCCUUGCUUCUCUUGAUCCCUACCAUUUAAUAUUUCAUCUGCUGACUUCAACCCAAUUAGUGCAAACAGUGCCACCUCACCAUAUGUCACUUCGGACUAUGUCUAGCCAUGCCAGUCUGGGAUGUCAGCUCUCCAGCUUCAAUACUCUAGUGAUGACUUUCCUAGCUCAUGGGACUUCUUUGUUCCAUUUCUGGUGGUGCCCUUUCUAACAAAAUUACCAGACCUAAGUAUAGACCAGGACCCAAGGGAUAAGGUACGUGUCCACAAGUAUCCAUAAGUUAGGGGAAAUAUAGAUAUCUUAAAGCAAAAGUGUGCAAUAGUUUGCAGUGAGUAGACUUAGACUCAAUAAAUGCAUUAAGCAAGUGGAAAGACCUAAAAAAAGACACCAUAAAUUUCUUGAUCAAGUAUUUUCUAUUUAGGCCUAGACACCCUCCUCUCCUACCCCCUACUUCACUUCCCUCAAUCACUCUUAGUCUAAUAUUGUCAGACAAAUCAAGGACUACUUGAUUAUGACAUUUUUAGUUACUACCAAGCUAUCCCAUUAUCUGGGGCUCAUCUGUGGGAAUCCUUAGAUUCUCUCAUAGAUAUGAUGGGCUUAGACCUUUAGUAGAUCCCUCUGUCCACCAUCACUGGUCACUUUCAUCAGAAUCAUCAUCAUAAGCCCUCUUGUGGGUCUCUACAGGAUCUUGCAUUAAGUGUAGAAAAAAGGUAAGGCUUACCCCACUCUCUGAAGGGAGGUUGGGUCAACAUACUCUGCUACUCAGGAAGACUGAUCCUGAAAUGAAUGUAGCCUAGAAUGUGAUUAUAGACUGUCAGUUUAUACUGACAGGGACUCAGAGGUUACAGUUUCCUGUGCUAAAUAUGAAUAGUUUUUAGCACUAGAUCAGAUUGAUCAGGUUUACAGUUAAUGGUAUUUAUAUACUUUCCUCACAUUUGGGAGCUGCUCUCUGUCCUGAUCCAGCUUUCUCAACUCUGACACUAUCUUUCCAGACAGUAUUUUUAGCCCACUAGCAUAUUAGCUAUUUGGCUCAGGCAAAAAUUACUAAAGUCACAGGCCUCUUGGAAUAUACCUAAAAUAGACUUUCUAACUACUUCCCACACAAACACCCUUAGUUCCAUCUGCUCUAUUCUUACCUUAGGUUCCUGAUUAUUAAAAAAUUUGUGCUGUUUUAUAUGUUAUCACUUUCUAGCCACCAAGGUGCAGAUGCUACCAUGACACCUAGCCUCCCUGGGCAGAAGACUUCACCAUUGUGUCCUGCAAUUCUGAUAUAGUUAAUUAUGGACAAGCAUUCAUCAUACAGAUAUAUCCUUUGGAUCUGGAUAAGACUUCACCUUCUCAGGAAAAAAUUAAGAAGCUUAAUAAUGAAGAUUGUAUUACCUACCUGCCUUGGGAUUAUGGUUUCAAAAGCUUUCUCAAGCAAGAGGAUAUAGUAUAAAUGAGAGAGGAAGAGACAUCAAAACACCAGAACUGAGCUGAGAAGCAGAUGAGACCUCUGUGUGGUGCUGGGACUUAAACCUGGCUGCGCAUGUGGACACA
Long non-coding RNA from Erinaceus europaeus (western European hedgehog), 1672 nucleotides. RefSeq lists it as uncharacterized. NCBI's taxonomy places the organism in Eukaryota, Metazoa, Chordata, Mammalia, Eulipotyphla, Erinaceidae. The record is from RefSeq and is a predicted model, not a curated record. The transcript has 4 exons.